Molecule: ribosomal RNA, 460 nt
Filed under: uncultured bacterium
Lineage: Bacteria
Description: partial 16S ribosomal RNA
Rfam family: Bacterial small subunit ribosomal RNA
Source: RNAcentral
CCUACGGGGGGCAGCAGUGAGGAAUAUUGGUCAAUGGACGAGAGUCUGAACCAGCCAAGUAGCGUGAAGGAUGACUGCCCUAUGGGUUGUAAACUUCUUUUAUAUGGGAAUAAAACGUUCCACGUGUGGGAUUUUGUAUGUACCAUAUGAAUAAGGAUCGGCUAACUCCGUGCCAGCAGCCGCGGUAAUACGGAGGAUCCGAGCGUUAUCCGGAUUUAUUGGGUUUAAAGGGAGCGUAGGUGGAUUGUUAAGUCAGUUGUGAAAGUUUGCGGCUCAACCGUAAAAUUGCAGUUGAAACUGGCAGUCUUGAGUACAGUAGAGGUGGGCGGAAUUGGUGGUGUAGCGGUGAAAUGCUUAGAUAUCACGAAGAACUCCGAUUGCGAAGGCAGUUCACUGGACUGCAACUGACACUGAGGCUCGAAAGUGUGGGUAUCAAACAGGAUUAGAUACCCUUGUAGUC